UACGAAGGGGGCUAGCGCUGCUCGGAAUCACUGGGCGUAAAGGGUGCGUAGGCGGGUCUUUAAGUCAGGGGUGAAAUCCUGGAGCUCAACUCCAGAACUGCCUUUGAUACUGAGGAUCUUGAGUUCGGGAGAGGUGAGUGGAACUGCGAGUGUAGAGGUGAAAUUCGUAGAUAUUCGCAAGAACACCAGUGGCGAAGGCGGCUCACUGGCCCGAUACUGACGCUGAGGCACGAAAGCGUGGGGAGCAAACAGG
Molecule: ribosomal RNA, 253 nt
Filed under: uncultured bacterium
Lineage: Bacteria
Description: partial 16S ribosomal RNA
Rfam family: Bacterial small subunit ribosomal RNA
Source: RNAcentral